CCCAGACUCCUACGGGAGGCAGCAGUGGGGAAUAUUGGACAAUGGACCAAGAGUCUGAUCCAGCAAUUCUGUGUGCACGAUGAAGUUUUUCGGAAUGUAAAGUGCUUUCAGUUGGGAAGAAAGAAAUGACGGUACCAACAGAAGAAGUGACGGCUAAAUACGUGCCAGCAGCCGCGGUAAUACGUAUGUCACGAGCGUUAUCCGGAUUUAUUGGGCGUAAAGCGCGUCUAGGUGGUUAUAUAAGUCUGAUGUGAAAAUGCAGGGCUCAACUCUGUAUUGCGUUGGAAACUGUAUAACUAGAGUACUGGAGAGGUAAGCGGAACUACAAGUGUAGAGGUGAAAUUCGUAGAUAUUUGUAGGAAUGCCGAUGGGGAAGCCAGCUUACUGGACAGAUACUGACGCUGAAGCGCGAAAGCGUGGGUAGCAAACAGGAUUAGAUACCCUGGUAGUCCACGCCGUAAACGAUGAUUACUAGGUGUUGGGGGUCGAACCUCAGCGCCCAAGCAAACGCGAUAAGUAAUCCGCCUGGGGAGUACGUACGCAAGUAUGAAACUCAAAGGAAUUGACGGGGGCCCGCACAAG
RNAcentral lists this ribosomal RNA (582 nucleotides) under uncultured bacterium. RNAcentral's name for it is "bacterial SSU rRNA". It matches the Rfam family "Bacterial small subunit ribosomal RNA", at positions 330 to 929 of the family's 1533-position model. The record is from RNAcentral.